CCCAGUAACGGCGAGUGAAGCGGCAACAGCUCAAAUUUGAAAUCUGGCCCCCCGCGGGCCCGAGUUGUACUUUGGAGAGGACGCUUCUGGCGCGGCGCCGUCCGAGUUCCCUGGAACGGGACGCCGGAGAGGGUGAGAGCCCCGUACGGGCGGCCGCCUAGCCUCUGCGAAGCUCCUUCGACGAGUCGAGUAGUUUGGGAAUGCUGCUCAAAAUGGGAGGUAAAUUUCUUCUAAAGCUAAAUACCGGCCAGAGACCGAUAGCGCACAAGUAGAGUGAUCGAAAGAUGAAAAGCACUUUGAAAAGAGGGUCAAACAGUACGUGAAAUUGUUGAAAGGGAAGCGCCUGUGGCCAGACUUGCGCCCCGCGGACCACCCGGCGCCUCGCGCGCCGGGGCACGCCAGCGGGGCGCAGGCCAGCAUCGGCUCUCUCGGGGGGACAAAGGCCGCGGGAACGUAGCGCCCUCGCGGCGUAUUAUAGCCCGCGGCGCCAUGCCCCCGGGGGGGCCGAGGACCGCGCUCCGGCAAGGAUGCUGGCGUAAUGGCCACCGGCGACCCGUCUUGAAACACGGACCAAGGAGUCAAGCAUUGGGGCGAGUGUCUGGGUGGCAAGCCCGCACGCGGAAUGAAAGUGAACGCAGGUGGGAGCUUCGGCGCACCACCGACCGAUCCUGAUGUCCUCGGAUGGAUUUGAGUAGGAGCCCCGCCGCUUGGACCCGAAAGAUGGUGAACUAUGCCUGUAUAGGGUGAAGCCAGAGGAAACUCUGGUGGAGGCCCGCAGCGGUUCUGACGUGCAAAUCGAUCGUCAAAUAUGG
Molecule: ribosomal RNA, 812 nt
Filed under: Harringtonia lauricola
Lineage: Eukaryota; Fungi; Ascomycota; Sordariomycetes; Ophiostomatales; Ophiostomataceae
Description: Raffaelea lauricola partial large subunit ribosomal RNA
Rfam family: Eukaryotic large subunit ribosomal RNA
Source: RNAcentral